CCUCGGGUCGCAGCAGUGGGGAAUAUUGGGCAAUGGGUGAGAGCCUGACCCAGCGACGCCGCGUGCAGGAUGAAGGCCUUCGGGUCGUAAACUGCUGUUGUACGGGAAGAAGGAAGUGACGGUACCGUACGAGGAAGCUCCGGCUAACUACGUGCCAGCAGCCGCGGUAAUACGUAGGGAGCGAGCGUUGUCCGGAAUUACUGGGCGUAAAGGGCACGCAGGCGGUCAUACAAGUCAGCUGUUAAAUGCAUGGGCUUAACCGAUGCAUGCGGUUGAAACUGUAUGGCUAGAGUACAGGAGG
This 301-nucleotide ribosomal RNA is filed under the name uncultured bacterium. Its description in RNAcentral is "bacterial SSU rRNA". It matches the Rfam family "Bacterial small subunit ribosomal RNA", at positions 339 to 655 of the family's 1533-position model. The record is from RNAcentral.